RNAcentral lists this unclassified non-coding RNA (155 nucleotides) under Racocetra sp. Its description in RNAcentral is "partial internal transcribed spacer region". The stretch from base 1 to 46 matches the Rfam family "Eukaryotic small subunit ribosomal RNA", at positions 1786 to 1831 of the family's 1831-position model. RNAcentral also lists the same sequence under 2 other names. The record is from RNAcentral. Lineage: Eukaryota; Fungi; Glomeromycota; Glomeromycetes; Diversisporales; Gigasporaceae.
AAGUCGUAACAAGGUUUCCGUAGGUGAACCUGCGGAAGGAUCAUUAAAAAAUUGAGGUAUUCGUACCUCUUUGUAUUUAAAACCUUACUCUAUAAAACCUAAAAUUUAUAUAUAAAAUAAAUGAAAAACUUUCAACAAUGGAUCUCUUGGCUCUC